AGUAACACGUGAGUAACCUACCCUAGGGCGUGGAAUAACAGUUCGAAAGAACUGCUAAUACCGCAUAAGCCUCCGUGACUUCGGUCAAGUGAGGAAAAGAGGGGGCUCCUUCGGGACCUCUCACCUUAGGAUGGGCUCGCGUCCCAUUAGGUAGUUGGUGGGGUAACGGCCUACCAAGCCUGCGAUGGGUAGCUGGUCUGAGAGGACGAUCAGCCACACUGGAACUGAGACACGGUCCAG
RNAcentral lists this ribosomal RNA (240 nucleotides) under uncultured bacterium. RNAcentral describes it as "partial 16S ribosomal RNA". It matches the Rfam family "Bacterial small subunit ribosomal RNA", at positions 109 to 334 of the family's 1533-position model. The record is from RNAcentral.